RNAcentral lists this ribosomal RNA (488 nucleotides) under uncultured bacterium. RNAcentral's name for it is "bacterial SSU rRNA". It matches the Rfam family "Bacterial small subunit ribosomal RNA", at positions 19 to 518 of the family's 1533-position model. The record is from RNAcentral.
CUGGCUCAGAACGAACGCUGGUGGCGUGUCUUAUACAUGCAAGUCGAGCGAGGCAGCAAUGCCGAGCGGCGAACGGGUGAGUAACGCGUAAGCAAUCUGCCCCAUAUCAGGAAAUACCCGUGCCAACGCGCGGUUAAUGUCCAGGAGAGUGGCCCUCUGCAUGGAGGGUUGACUAGAGAUUUAUCGGUAUGGGAUGAGCUUGCGUCCGAUUAGCUAGUUGGCGGGGCAACGGCCCACCAAGGCGACGAUCGGUAGCCGGCCUGAGAGGGUGAUCGGCCACAUUGGGACUGAGAUACGGCCCAGACUCCUACGGGAGGCAGCAGUAGGGAAUAUUGCACAAUGGGGGAAACCCUGAUGCAGCAACGCCACGUGUGGGAAGAAGCAUUUCGGUGUGUAAACCACUGUCAUGAGGGAAUAAGGCCCUUAUUCGUAAGGGACUUGAAUGUACCUUGAGAGGAAGCACCGGCAAACUUCGUGCCAGCAGCCGC